UGGGGAAUUUUGGACAAUGGGCGCAAGCCUGAUCCAGCCAUGCCGCGUGAGUGAAGAAGGCCUUCGGGUUGUAAAGCUCUUUCGGCCGGGAAGAAAUGGAGGGCUCUAACAUAGCCUGUCGAUGACGGUACCGUAAGAAGAAGCACCGGCUAACUACGUGCCAGCAGCCGCGGAAAUACGUAGGGUGCGAGCGUUAAUCGGAAUUACUGGGCGGAAAGCUAGCGCAGGCGGUUUUGUAAGACAGAUGUGAAAUCCCCGGGCUUAACCUGGGAACUGCGGUGGUGACUGCAAGGCUGGAGUACGGCAGAGGGGGGUGGAAUGCCACGUGUAGCAGUGAAAUGCGUAGAGAUGUGGAGGAACACCGAUGGCGAAGGCAGCCCCCGGGGCCUGUACUGACGCUCAUGCACGAAAGCGUGGGGAGCAAACA
RNAcentral lists this ribosomal RNA (427 nucleotides) under uncultured bacterium. Its description in RNAcentral is "bacterial SSU rRNA". It matches the Rfam family "Bacterial small subunit ribosomal RNA", at positions 355 to 774 of the family's 1533-position model. The record is from RNAcentral.